UACGAAGGGGGCUAGCGUUGCUCGGAAUCACUGGGCGUAAAGCGCACGUAGGCGGAUCUUUAAGUCAGGGGUGAAAUCCUGGAGCUCAACUCCAGAACUGCCUUUGAUACUGGGGAUCUCGAGUCCGGAAGAGGUGAGUGGAACUCCGAGUGUAGAGGUGAAAUUCGUAGAUAUUCGGAAGAACACCCGUGGCGAAGGCGGCUCACUGGUCCGGUACUGACGCUGAGGUGCGAAAGCGUGGGGAGCAAACAGG
RNAcentral lists this ribosomal RNA (253 nucleotides) under uncultured bacterium. RNAcentral describes it as "partial 16S ribosomal RNA". It matches the Rfam family "Bacterial small subunit ribosomal RNA", at positions 524 to 776 of the family's 1533-position model. The record is from RNAcentral.